Molecule: ribosomal RNA, 493 nt
Filed under: uncultured Bacillota bacterium
Lineage: Bacteria; Bacillati; Bacillota
Description: bacterial SSU rRNA
Rfam family: Bacterial small subunit ribosomal RNA
Source: RNAcentral
GACACGGCCCAGACUCCUACGGGAGGCAGCAGUGGGGGAUAUUGCACAAUGGGGGAAACCCUGAUGCAGCGACGCCGCGUGGAGGAAGAAGGUUUUCGGAUUGUAAACUCCUGUCGUUAGGGACGAUAAUGACGGUACCUAACAAGAAAGCACCGGCUAACUACGUGCCAGCAGCCGCGGUAAAACGUAGGGUGCAAGCGUUGUCCGGAAUUACUGGGUGUAAAGGGAGCGCAGGCGGGAAGACAAGUUGGAAGUGAAAACCAUGGGCUCAACCCAUGAAUUGCUUUCAAAACUGUUUUUCUUGAGUAGUGCAGAGGUAGAUGGAAUUCCCGGUGUAGCGGUGGAAUGCGUAGAUAUCGGGAGGAACACCAGUGGCGAAGGCGGUCUACUGGGCACCAACUGACGCUGAGGCUCGAAAGCAUGGGUAGCAAACAGGAUUAGAUACCCUGGUAGUCCAUGCCGUAAACGAUGAUUACUAGGUGUUGGGGGAUUG